This 250-nucleotide ribosomal RNA is filed under the name uncultured bacterium. Its description in RNAcentral is "partial 16S ribosomal RNA". It matches the Rfam family "Bacterial small subunit ribosomal RNA", at positions 524 to 773 of the family's 1533-position model. The record is from RNAcentral.
UACGGAGGAUCCAAGCGUUAUCCGGAUUUAUUGGGUUUAAAGGGUGCGUAGGUGGGAUAUUAAGUCAGUGGUGAAAGCCCGCAGCUCAACUGCGGAACUGCCAUUGAUACUGAUGUUCUUGAGUACAGAUGGGGUAGGCGGAAUGUAUCAUGUAGCGGUGAAAUGCUUAGAUAUGAUACAGAACACCAAUCGCGAAGGCAGCUUACCAAACUGUUACUGACACUGAGGCACGAAAGCAUGGGUAGCGAAC